GAUGAACGCUGGCGGCGUGCCUAAUACAUGCAAGUCGAGCGAACGGACGAGAAGCUUGCUUCUCUGAUGUUAGCGGCGGACGGGUGAGUAACACGUGGAUAACCUACCUAUAAGACUGGGAUAACUUCGGGAAACCGUAGCUAAUACCGGAUAAUAUUUUGAACCGCAUGGUUCAAAAGUGAAAGACGGUCUUGCUGUCACUUCUAGAUGGAUCCGCGCUGCAUUAGCUAGUUGUUAAGGUAACGGCUUACCAAGGCAACGAGGCAUAGACGACGGGAGAGGGGGGUAGGCCACCCGGGAAAGGGGACAAGGGCCAGACGACUGAGGGAGGGAGCAGAAGGGAAACUUACGCAAAGGGGGGAAACAUUACGGAACAAGGGCGCGUGAGAGGUGGAAGGGCUCGGAGCGGAAAAAUCUGUUAUUAGGGAAAAACAGAUGUGGAAGGUAAUGAGGACAGAGUGACGGUAACGAAUCAGAAAGCCACGGCUAACUACGUG
Molecule: ribosomal RNA, 497 nt
Filed under: uncultured bacterium
Lineage: Bacteria
Description: partial 16S ribosomal RNA
Rfam family: Bacterial small subunit ribosomal RNA
Source: RNAcentral